RNAcentral lists this ribosomal RNA (618 nucleotides) under uncultured bacterium. Its description in RNAcentral is "bacterial SSU rRNA". The stretch from base 1 to 539 matches the Rfam family "Bacterial small subunit ribosomal RNA", at positions 338 to 873 of the family's 1533-position model. The record is from RNAcentral.
CCUACGGGAGGCAGCAGUGGGGAAUUUUGGACAAUGGGCGAAAGCCUGAUCCAGCCAUUCCGCGUGCAGGAUGAAGGCCCUCGGGUUGUAAACUGCUUUUGUACAGAACGAAAAGGUUUCUAUUAAUACUAGGAGCUCAUGACGGUACUGUAAGAAUAAGCACCGGCUAACUACGUGCCAGCAGCCGCGGUAAUACGUAGGGUGCAAGCGUUAAUCGGAAUUACUGGGCGUAAAGCGUGCGCAGGCGGUUAUAUAAGUCAGAUGUGAAAUCCCCGGGCUCAACCUGGGAACUGCAUUUGAGACUGUAUAGCUAGAGUACGGUAGAGGGGGAUGGAAUUCCGCGUGUAGCAGUGAAAUGCGUAGAUAUGCGGAGGAACACCGAUGGCGAAGGCAAUCCCCUGGACCUGUACUGACGCUCAUGCACGAAAGCGUGGGGAGCAAACAGGAUUAGAUACCCUGGUAGUCCACGCCCUAAACGAUGUCAACUGGUUGUUGGGUCUUAACUGACUCAGUAACGAAGCUAACGCGNGAGUGACGCGNGGNGGUAACGGCGCGAGUUAGUAAGUUACGAAGAAGUUAGAGGCGNGAGAGNGCGACGGACGACGACGAGGGAGGAGG